UAAAUGCUUAAGAGCGUAUCUUUUUCCUUUCAGCAAUCAAGAAGGGAUGGUUAUCAGCAGGGUAUUACUGAAAAGGAUUUCAUCUGGAGAAUAAAGAACGAAACUGGCAGUAUUUUAAAAUAUAAUUCUGCAGAGAACAAAGAGAAGUCUGGAUUCAUCAUAGAAUUUGUAAAAGGCCCAAUAUCCUGAUGAAGUGGAGGGUGUUGUUAGAGAAGGGAUAAAGACAAAUUUUGAAUCGUUCAAAGCAAAGAAACGAAGAGACGAAACUGGUAAACAAGAAGAACAUA
Molecule: long non-coding RNA, 287 nt
Organism: Mytilus californianus (California mussel)
Lineage: Eukaryota; Metazoa; Mollusca; Bivalvia; Mytilida; Mytilidae
Exons: 3
Source: RefSeq, a predicted model, not a curated record